Non-coding RNA from Acanthosepion pharaonis, 94 nucleotides. Lineage: Eukaryota; Metazoa; Mollusca; Cephalopoda; Sepiida; Sepiidae. The record is from the annotation of a GenBank genome assembly.
UUACACCGGUUCCCAUACACUCACCAAAGUUAAGCAAUGUCGAGCCUGGCCAGUACCUAGAUGGGUGACAACUUGGGAAUACUAGGUGGUGUAA